UAGCCACCAGCAGCAGUACCGCCACUGCCGGUGCCGCUACCAUCGCCUUGGGAGGAGCCUUGAUCAUCCAAGAAUAGGUUCUUGAAUGCCUCCUCCAGAUCAGUGUCCUCAGGUGUAUGUUGUUCCCUUCUAGCUCCCAGUUCCCAGUCCUUGAUGCAGGUAAGCAUCUCCACAUGCUCAGGUAACAAGCGUCGUCGCCGGUCUUCGAGAAUCCUAGAUGUACAGCUAAAACAAGACUCGGAAGAGACAGUAGAUACAGGGACAGACAUGAUAUCUCGAACCAUAAUAGACAGGACUGGAUAGGUUAGCUUGUGGUCACGCCACCAGAGUAGAAUGUCAAAAGUUUCCUCAUAACAUGUGACAGGGUCAGCGUCCAAGUAAGACUUGAGCUCACUCUCAACAGAUGGAGCAGCUGAUGAUGAUUGGAAACAGGUAGGGGAUGCACCAGGACCUCCAAAGAUCCUUCCCCAUGCCUGCUUUCUCUUACCAGUAUGAGCUGAAGGCAUUGCAACCCUCUGAGACCUGGCACCUCCAAAUUUCUCUUCAUACUUGGCAAACAGUCUAUAUAAUUCAUUUUUCACCUCUCCAUAGUACAGAUUGUAACUGGUGCCCAAUGCCUUACCAAGUAGUUCAAGCACAUUAAAAAAAUCCUUUCAUCUUAGCUCUAGGAUCAAGUAUGAAUGCAUAAGAAUAAAUGAGUGGAAUUUUCUCCCAGUAUUUAAGGAAUUUAUGCUUCAUAGGAUAAGCAAUAGCUCUAAAAUUCUGAUCUUUUUCAGCUGUUUGCAAAUGUUCAGCAAUUUCAAGAAUAUGAUGCAAAACAAGUGGAGCAGUAGGAUAAUACACACCAGAUAGAACAACAGUGCAAUCAUAAAAGAUUUCUAGAAAUAUCAUUAUUUGUUCAGCUACAUGCCAAUGCUGCAGAGUCAACAACUCACAACCAUAGUUAGAGUUAAGCCACACAUGAAAUACUUCCUUGUAUGGCAGCAAGUGUUUGAGCAUCAAAUAAGUAGAAUUCCAUCUAACAUCCAUAUCCAACCCAAACUUCCUAGGCCUAAGACCUUGAGCAAUGCAAUAGUUUUUAAACAAAGCAAUUCUCUGAUUAGAAGAGUUUAAAAAAUUUAUUGCAGUUCUAAAGUCUUCAGUAUAGGGUUUCAACCUUUUUAAGCCAGAUUUAACAAUUAGAUUAAUGAUAUGGCAUGCACAACGCUGAUGCACAAGCAAAUAUUUGACCUUUGCAGGGUCAUCUUUUGUAGGUGCAGGAUAAGAGCCCAAAUAACCAAAUAACAUAGGUUGCAAUAUCUCAUGAGCCCUAGAAUUUGCAGAAGCAUUGUCUAGAGAUACAGAAAACACUUUGUCAAUCAGACCAAACUCUUCAACAACACUAGCAAUCCUAUCAGCAAUGUUUUCACCAGAAUGGGACACUUCAAUCAAUCUUAAACCAACUACUUUUUUCUGUAACUCCCAAUCUGCACUAACAUAAUGAGCAACAACGGAUAUGUAAUCCUCCUUAGCAUUACCAGACCAGAUAUCAGAUGUCAAGGAAACAGAAGAUGUAGCAGGCAAGACAGUUUUCAUAAGCAUAUCACGUUGUUCACCAAACAAUUUAGUCAUAUCUCUAGUGGUGGUCUGCCUAGAUACCUUUUCAAACAGAGGAUUAUGAGCACGCUUAAUGUAUUCUUCCCAUGCCUGAGUCUCACCUAUGCCUAAAGGAAGAUCAAGCCUAGCAAUCAAACGACAUAGUUCUAACCGAGCAACCAUAGGAUCAUAAACCCAAUUUUUCAAGCCAUCAGGGUUCAAUGCAAGCUUAGACUGUGUCAUAGUAGCAUGAUUGCGUUUAGCCAUACAUGAUUUCAUGUGUCGUCUCAAA
Molecule: long non-coding RNA, 1867 nt
Filed under: Sorghum bicolor (sorghum)
Lineage: Eukaryota; Viridiplantae; Streptophyta; Magnoliopsida; Poales; Poaceae
Description: long non-coding RNA (SBIC_LNC001648)
Source: RNAcentral